GGUACAAUUGUAAAUUGUCCCUAGUGUGUAGGAUAAUGCUAGUGUACUUGGUGAUCACUGGUCGGUGCGGACUGAAGGGCCUGUUUCCACGCUGUAUCUCUAAAGUCUCAUAAUAGGCGCCUUAGUAAACUCGCCCUUACGUAAGCACUUCUUUAACCCACUGCUUUAUUUCCGAGUUGCGCAUCUCGGUAGCAAUGAGCUGCUGCUGUUGCAUGUGGCCAUUUCCACAAGCCACUCAGCAGUUUUCAAGGAUGCUCCCUACGUGGUCUCUGCUUCGGAGCUCCCCCUGUGGUCUCCACAUCAGAAGCUCCCCCAUGAUCUCCACAUCAGAGCUCCCCCAUGAUCUCCACAUCAGAACUCCCCCCCCCCCCCGUGAUCUCCACAUCAGAGCCCUGUGGUCUCCAUGCUGGAGCUCCCCCAUGAUCACUGCGUUGGAGCUUCCCCCUGUGGUCCACGUGUCAGAGCUCCCCCAUGGUCUCCACGUCAGAGCUCCCACCUAGUCUCCCACUAGUAAUACACAGUAUGAACGGUGAACGUACAGGUGCACGCAGCACUUCAGUUUCCGACCUAGGUAACAUCUGACUUAUGCAAGAUUCGGCGGGAGAUAACCUUUACGUGAGUGGGGGAGCGUCUGUCUUCCAGUCUUGGUGCUAGGUCACUGCAGACGUGGAAUUCGGUUGGACCACAUAUGGCCAGAAGAGACUCAAGGGGACAAAUGGCCUAAUUCCGUACCACAAAGUUCGACGAGUCUUCGGGAAUAAAUACGGGUUUUUGUUUCCCUCAACUACAGAAUGUAUGGAUGAAAUAAAGCAUGAAGGAAUCUAAUUAUGGUAAAUUAACAGAACAUUUCUCAUCUCCAUUAGACAUUUAAAAGUUACGAGGAAUUGUAUUUUAUCUGGAUAAUUACGCUUGGUGGUCGUUUGGCUGACAAAGGGAAGAAUAAUAGAAAUUGUUUCUCAAUGUCAGAGUUGAAAACCUCAUCGUAUGCCAAAAUCUGUGGGGAAAAAUAAUUCCGGUACAGUUUAGUAGACAAUCAUUACUCCAUGGUCCAAUAGAUUUUCGUCCAUUUGUAUAAAUACGAAUAAUUUAAAAAAUGGGUUUUGUAAUAGGAUAUUAUUAAAAGUGUCAUUAUGUUUGGUCAUACCUGUAUAGUUUUCAAUAAAAGAAUGGAAAUGAA
Amblyraja radiata (thorny skate) is the source of this 1177-nucleotide long non-coding RNA. RefSeq lists it as uncharacterized. NCBI's taxonomy places the organism in Eukaryota, Metazoa, Chordata, Chondrichthyes, Rajiformes, Rajidae. The transcript has 2 exons. The record is from RefSeq and is a predicted model, not a curated record.